GCUUCUCACCAGCUUGUCAGUUGCUCAGCAAACGUAUAUUGAGCACCUCCUGAAAGCCAAGUCCUGUUCUUACUUAGUAUGCAAAUAUUGUCACAAGUGAGACAGACAUGGUUCCUUCUUUCCUGCAGCUGACAUUGUAGCCAAGGAGGUAGGCAUAAGUCAAAGAAUGAAACAAAUGAAUGUUAAAUUACAGUGGUAGUAAGGAUUACAAAAGAGAGGAAUCUGUUGCCACAGCCACAUAAAUGGGUAAGUCUGGCUUCAUCUGGGGGUCCAGGGGAAGCUUCCCUGAGGUGAUCUUUGACUUGAGAGCUAUAGGAAUUGGAGGAGUGAACUAUGCAGUGGGUAGAGAGUGGCAGGUGGAGUGUACCUGCCAGUGGAAAUUGCUAAUGCUAAGUCCUGUGGCUGGUGGACAGUACAGAUGGGGCUAGGUCAUCGCAUGGAUAGCCAUGCAUGGGCUGGUUAUCCAUGGUGAGGAAUUUUGUCUUUAUCCAAGAGCAGUGGGGCCAUGGUAGGGUGAAAAAGUGAGGAGAUUGCUCUGCACCAUGGUGAGACUGGUGGGGCCAUGGUCACCAUCGUCCAGGCAAGAGCUGAUGGGGCUUGACACAGGGAGAACAGGGUAGAAAGUGGAUUCCCAAGAAUCAUAGGGAUGAAACCAGGGCCUGUGGAUGGGUGGGAGAGGAAGUAUCUUAUUGACUCCACAUCUAACUUGUGUACCCAUGCAUAGAGCUUGAAGGGAACUCAGUUUGGAGGGGAAAGAUUUCAAUGACAUGUUGAGUGUGAGAUGCCUUUUAAACAUGUAAAAUUUAUGUACUCUUCAAGGAAGGGGGAAUCAUCCAAGGAUAUAUCAACAGAGGAAUGGUUGGAAAAUGGAGAGAGUAAUUGUGUUCUCUUCAUGCACUGGCCUGACCACAGCUGACUAAGGGAGUGAAGGACAUGCAGACAUAUCCCAUGAGGAAUGGUAGAGAGUACUGAAUUGCCUUGGAUGGAAAGGAGGCAGGAGAGGGGUGUGAGGGACCACUGCACAUCUUUGAGGACCAAGAAUAGUGCGUUCUCUGAGGCCCCGGAGACAGAAGUGGGCCCCAAAUGUACCUGCUUCAGGAAGACAGGUUUCAGCUUCUGAAUAUAAUGACAUCAGAGCUAUCUAAAAAUGAGGUGGGCUAGGUGGAAGUGGUGGGCUCCCUGUCAUUAGAGGUGUGUAAACAAAGGCAAAAAUGGUGUGGAAGGGAUUACAGCCUCUGGUGGAGAGCUAAGGUCUUUGAAAACCCUGCCAACCCUCAGUCCUCUGCUGCUAAGGAGAGCUUAGAGCACAGGGCACAGCCCACACUUCCUCACCCUGACUUGCCCAGGUGAGUGGGUGUUAUUCGUAGUACUUCCUUCCCCCAAAAAACUGCUUCAGUGAGCUACUCUGCACACUCUUCCCUGCCACUGGCCCCUUCUAUGGGUGAGGGGGACAAGGACCUCAAACCCACGAAAGGCAGCCUAGCCUAGCAAUUCCCUGCAGAGUUCAAACCCAGCAACUAGCUGUAUGUAUGACCUUGAGUGGAUUUCUUGGCCUCCCUGAGUCUGUCUUCACCUAUAAAAUGAAAAUAAUGAUGGCAAUUAUCUCAUUGCAUUGUGAGGGUUAGACACAGUGCUCCAUAUAAAGUGCUAAAACUACCGGUUGGAGGCUCCCCGACUUCCUGCACCCGCCUCAGUAUUUAUUAAGCAUCUACUACAACCCAGCAAUAUUCUUGAUAUAGCUGGGAACAAACCAGAGAAAAAUCCCUGCUCAACAUUUUUGUUGGGGGAAAAGAGGCAGAAUAAAUUGAUACAUGUAAAAAUGAAACCUGUUUUUAACAGGAGAAUCCUGACAAGUGGCUUUCCUGGGAACAAGGGACCCUACUAUCACAUCCCAAACCAUGACAGAGCAGAGUCCAUCGCAGCUGGGAAACCUGGGGCCUAGACAGUGACUCCCUGGGAUGGGGGUCAAUGGGCGUGAGACUUCAAAGUCCAGGGCCUCAGCCAUCUGGGUGCUUAUCCUACCCAUGCCCUAGACUCACUUUGCCAUGAGCAAGUCACUUAGUUGUUCAGUUUUUGAGACAUGUGUGAGGCACUGAGGAUACUGUAGUGAGCUGCCAGCUGCCUUCCUCCCUGGGCCUUUCUGUGUAGGGGAGGAGUCUAGGAAGUAAGUAAAAUAACAGGAGAUAGAGAAAAGCUAUGAAGAAAAUGAAACAGGAUCACAGGGCAGAGCAUGCCUUGGAAGAGGGGCAAUCUUCGAGGGCCUCUCUUGGGGGGCUACAUUAAAGUUGAGACGGGAAGGACGAGGACCUGGGCAGAGUCUUCCAAGAAGGCACAGUACACACAGCAUGUUCUGCAGGGGGAAGAGCCUGGGCGG
This 2374-nucleotide long non-coding RNA is filed under the name Homo sapiens (human). RNAcentral describes it as "HSALNT0096166". The record is from RNAcentral. Lineage: Eukaryota; Metazoa; Chordata; Mammalia; Primates; Hominidae.